GAUGAAGAACGCAGCGAAAUGCGAUAAGUAAUGUGAAUUGCAGAAUUCAGUGAAUCAUCGAAUCUUUGAACGCACAUUGCGCCCGUUAGCAUUCUAGCGGGCAUGCCUGUCCGAGCGUCAUUUCAACCCUCAGGGUCCCCGUUCCGGCGGGGAACCUGGUGUUGGGGAUCGGCCCGCCCCGUGCGGCGCCGUCCCCCAAAUUCAGUGGCGGUCUCGCUGCAGCCUCCCCUGCGUAGUAGUUACAACCUCGCAUCGGAGCUCAGCGCGGCCACGCCGUAAAACCCCCGACUUUCUGAACGUUGACCUCGGAUCAGGUAGGAAUACCCGCUGAACUUAAGCAUAUCAAUAAGCGGAGG
Molecule: unclassified non-coding RNA, 356 nt
Filed under: soil metagenome
Description: partial contains 5.8S ribosomal RNA, internal transcribed spacer 2, and large subunit ribosomal RNA
Rfam family: 5.8S ribosomal RNA (bases 1-120)
Source: RNAcentral